GUUCCCUUGACCACUUCAUGAGGGAUUAAUUUCUUCAUUUUUGUUGCCCUGCUGAAGUGUUUGGGGGAACUC
This is a non-coding RNA of Solanum tuberosum (potato), 72 nucleotides long. The record is from RefSeq and is marked provisional. NCBI's taxonomy places the organism in Eukaryota, Viridiplantae, Streptophyta, Magnoliopsida, Solanales, Solanaceae.